UGGUCCAUCCUAAUCCCUGCUGGCCAGCCUAUGGCCUGCUAGGCUUCGCUUGUGGACCAGAGCAUCCUAGAAGCCUCUCCCAAGUUGAGCAAGGGCUUUGUGGCCUUAUGCCAGGGGCACUUCUAGACACUA
RNAcentral lists this small nucleolar RNA (132 nucleotides) under Castor canadensis (American beaver). The record is from RNAcentral. Lineage: Eukaryota; Metazoa; Chordata; Mammalia; Rodentia; Castoridae.